UUGUGAGCUGCGGAGAACAUCGCUGGAACAUUUUCUCCGAUUUCAAACACAAAAAUGCCUUCAACAUCGUGGAAAUUAAUUCACAACUGCUACAGCAGAAGACGUUAUGUUCCAAGAGCCUGGCCUCUGAAGUGUGAAGGCGAGAAUGGUUGGCGCGAAUCUCCACAAUGACGAGGUGGUACUGUCCAGUUUCAACAGGAAGGAAUACGCAGAAAAUGUGUAACCAAGCUUCCAGACUUAGAGUCAUGGACCAACUAUUGCCUUUCCGCGAGUGACCCCCGGCAUCCUCCCAUCGAUUGUGCAAGCCACCUGUCCUACUCCAACCCACGUGACAAGACCUGCAUGGAAACGAAAAAUAACUCUGGACCAAGUACUCAUUUAUAUAUCCGGAUGAGUAGGCCUAACAGUUUAAAAUGCCCUUGGAUAGAGUGUUCCGGGGACGAAUGUCUACAUCCAAUGUUUUUGAUCUUCGAGGCACUGAAGGUCUUAAGUCUCAGUAAAACAGGUACUCAAACCGAAACUGACCAAAAGUGAAGGACACUUUUCCAGGUGACAUUUCAAACUGCUACACUGGUAUACGAAUCGUACCAAGCAGGCGCGCCACCUGUUUCCACACACAGUGCUUCAGAGAGCUUCUUGUUGGAAAUACAGUUGUGUAUUUGAAUUCAUCAAAAGAUCGA
Long non-coding RNA from Lineus longissimus, 680 nucleotides. RefSeq lists it as uncharacterized. The transcript is spliced from 3 exons. The record is from RefSeq and is a predicted model, not a curated record. NCBI's taxonomy places the organism in Eukaryota, Metazoa, Nemertea, Pilidiophora, Heteronemertea, Lineidae.